GUUAUACCCUUAAGAAUAAUGGUCGGCCCCCUAGGUCGCUGAAAAGCAAUCCCUUGAAUUCCCUAAAUUACCGGUCUCGUAAACCGGCAGAUUUACCAGCACGCAAUUGACUUUGUUGGUGCGACGUGAGUAACGUAAAAACUUGCUCACGUAGGGCACUUGGAAACAAAGCUAACCGAUUUGAUUAUGGCAUCUAAAAUUGAAGUAAUCCCUUGAGAGAGCUUUCGUUCUUUUAGCUAUUGGAGAGGUAACGCUUCCCAAGGCGUUAUGGGUAGCCGGCUGAGAAGGGUGAACGGCCACCAAGGGGACUGAGGACACGGCCCUUUCUCCUACGGAGGCAGCAGUGGGGAAUAUUGGACAAUGGACCGAGAGUCUGAUCCAGCAAUUCUGUGUGCACGAUGAAGUUUUUCGGAAUGUAAAGUGCUUUCAGUUGGGAAGAAAAAAAAUGACGGUACCAACAGAAGAAGUGACGGCUAAAUACGUGCCAGCAGCCGCGGUAAUACGUAUGUCACGAGCGUUAUCCGGAUUUAUUGGGCGUAAAGCGCGUCUAGGUGGUUAUGUAAGUCUGAUGUGAAAAUGCAGGGCUCAACUCUGUAUUGCGUUGGAAACUGUAUAACUAGAGUACUGGAGAGGUAAGCGGAACUACAAGUGUAGAGGUGAAAUUCGUAGAUAUUUGUAGGAAUGCCGAUGGGGAAGCCAGCUUACUGGACAGAUACUGACGCUGAAGCGCGAAAGCGUGGGUAGCAAACAGG
This 752-nucleotide ribosomal RNA is filed under the name uncultured Actinomyces sp. RNAcentral's name for it is "bacterial SSU rRNA". It matches the Rfam family "Bacterial small subunit ribosomal RNA", at positions 64 to 776 of the family's 1533-position model. The record is from RNAcentral. Lineage: Bacteria; Bacillati; Actinomycetota; Actinomycetes; Actinomycetales; Actinomycetaceae.